This 1209-nucleotide ribosomal RNA is filed under the name metagenome. RNAcentral's name for it is "bacterial LSU rRNA". It matches the Rfam family "Bacterial large subunit ribosomal RNA", at positions 1710 to 2925 of the family's 2925-position model. The record is from RNAcentral.
AAACUCGGCAAAUUAGUACCGUAACUUCGGGAUAAGGUACGCCCGCGCAAGCGGGCCGCAGUGAAGAGGGGGUUGCGACUGUUUAUCAAAAACACAGCACUCUGCAAACACGAAAGUGGACGUAUAGGGUGUGACUCCUGCCCGGUGCUGGAAGGUUAAUUGAUGGGGUUAGGCGCAAGCCGAAGCUCUUGAUCGAAGCCCCAGUAGACGGCGGCCGUAACAAUAACGGUCCUAAGGUAGCGAAAUUCCUUGUCGGGUAAGUUCCGACCUGCACGAAUGGAGUAACGAUAGCCCCACUGUCUCCAUCCGAGGCUCAGUGAAAUUGAAAUUGCUGUGACGAUGCAGUGUUCCCGCGGCAAGACGGAAAGACCCCGUGAACCUUUACUACAACUUUGCAUUGGAUUUUGAGUUUGUUUGUGUAGGAUAGGUGGGAGCCUUUGAAGCCAGGACGCCAGUUCUGGUGGAGGCAACCUUGAAAUACCACCCUGAUAAACUCGAAGUUCUAACCUCGGCCUGUUAUCCAGGCUAGGGACAUUGCAUGGCGGGUAGUUUGACUGGGGCGGUCUCCUCCCAAAGAGUAACGGAGGAGUGCGAAGGUUACCUCAGCGCGGUCGGAAAUCGCGCUUUUGAGUGCAUACGCAUAUGGUAGCUUAACUGCGAGACAAACAAGUCGAGCAGAUACGAAAGUAGGUGUAAGUGAUCCGGUGGUUCUGUAUGGAAGGGCCAUCGCUCAACGGAUAAAAGGUACUCCGGGGAUAACAGGCUGAUACUGCCCAAGAGUCCAUAUCGACGGCAGUGUUUGGCACCUCGAUGUCGGCUCAUCACAUCCUGGGGCUGUAGCAGGUCCCAAGGGUCCGGCUGUUCGCCGGUUAAAGUGGUACGCGAGCUGGGUUCAGAACGUCGUGAGACAGUUCGGUCCCUAUCUGCCGUGGGCGUUCGAAGUUUGAGAGGAGUUGACCUUAGUACGAGAGGACCGGGUUGAACGUAUCUCUGGUGUUCCAGUUGUCACGCCAGUGGCAUCGCUGGGUAGCUAAAUACGGACGGGAUAACCGCUGAAAGCAUCUAAGCGGGAAGCCCACCUCAAGAUGAGACUUCGCAGAGCUUUAAGCUCUCUUAAGAGCCCUUCUAGACUAGGAGGUUGAUAGGCGCCAUGUGGAAGUGCAGUAAUGCAUGUAGCUAAGGCGUACUAAUUGCUCGUGAGGCUUGACC